GGUCUUUCAAGCUAACUGCUGCUCUCCGGCAGGUGUUCAGCGGGAUCACGUUGACGAAGUUUGGAGGUAUCCUGAUUCUGGCACUUUCCAAGUCACAGAUCUUCCAGGUCUUCUAUUUCCGGAUGUAUCUGGCUAUCGUGCUGCUCGGAGCAGCGCACGGACUCAUAUUCCUGCCCGUGCUGCUGAGCUACAUAGGUCCUUCAGUGAAUAAGGCAAAGGUGGCCGCUGCUAACAGGCGCUAUGCCGGCACAGAGCGGGAGCACCUCCUCAACUACUAGUAAGCUUUUUGAGACGGCGGACUAAUGACUUGUCUGUAGGGAACUGUGUGGGUGUUUGUGUGAUUACUGACACACUCACUGCUAUGCACCAGUUAACUCAGGAAUUUACUCAGGAAUAGGAGCGCCAGGGGCCUUGUCCAAGCACGUAAUUAUUAAAUUCCUCCGCACACUUUGGACUUGCAGGUCACCACCAUUUUUCCUACUCGCGUGCUACAGGACAAGCCUGAGGGAAGUAAUGAACCAUGACAUCAGUUUACAGAUGCACCUUCAGUCGUAUGCUUAUUAACAAUAAAUCUAUUUUAAUAUUUUGAUUUGGGCACGGGAGAGACACACACACACAAAGGGGUCAGUCUUUUUUCCUGUGUAUUACAUUUGUAUCACACAACAUUUUUUUGUUUGUCUUUGUAUAUUUACUAAUAAGGUACUUUUCUACAGUUACUCACAUAAUGAAACAUUUGACUGCAGCAGAGCUAAUUGAUAAAACUGACAAUCGCAUCGACCCUGUUCAUAGCUGUUUGGUUUUUGUUGUUGUUCUGUUUUUUUUUGUUUUGUUUUUUUUAAGCUCUUCAUCUAAGCAGUUGGAAUGUAGAGCAAAAAAUAAUAAUAAUAAUAAUACAUGCAAAAAUAACCUGUUGGUCUGAAGCUUUAGUGAUUUGCGUCUCAUGGUUUUUGAGUGUCCUUUUGGUCUUGUGUGUGUAAAAACCAUUUCUCACGUUUUUUUUUUUUUUUCUCCAUUUUAUUUCUACUUUUUUUUGCUGUGCUUCAUGUAUCUGCACCAUCCUUUUGAAAUAAUUUGAUUGUAUUGGUGGGUUUUUACAAUGGACGUAUUAGUGCCACCGACAAUUUCCACUGAAUUGUUACUAAAUAAAAUGUUAAACUGAAGUUUAUAAAUAAUUACAAGUUUUAAGUAACACGCAGUAACUAAUUUAAAACAUUUUCAUUUGUCUUCUAAUGUAUGUCAAAAUAAAUAAUGUAGUUUGACACCUGGACAACAGCACACAGCAGUCUUGUGUUUUAUGUUCCUUGCUGUAACAGUUUUUUUUUUUUUUUAUAUAUAUAUUAUUUUGCUUGGGGUGGGGGGGGGUACUCUGAAUCCUGGAAAUCGUCUGGGGAUUCCCCAAAACUUUUAAACACAACUUUGAUAAAUACUUGAUUUAGAAUUGUUCCCACAUAAACGAUAUUAAGCUACAACAAGAAGAACAUGGUAAUUAAAAUCUGGAGGCUACAAUUUUCUUAAAUAAAUUUUUAGGUCCUUUUAAAUUUUAUUGCAAACAUGAAAGUCAGGCUUUAAAAAUAUGUUUUUAAAGAUCCCGCUGGGUCCGCCUGCCUACCUUCAUAACCCACCAGCGCCCACACUUUGGGAACAGCUUAAAAAAAACAAAAAAACAAAUCACAUUUUACUAGUUUGUGCGUGUGUGAGUGUCACUACAGGUACUUUCUCUUCUGUGCAAUCAAUAUGUCUGUUAAUUCACUUUUUUCUCCACAAAUGCACAACACCUCCCAUUAUUU
Long non-coding RNA from Thalassophryne amazonica, 1787 nucleotides. RefSeq lists it as uncharacterized. NCBI's taxonomy places the organism in Eukaryota, Metazoa, Chordata, Actinopteri, Batrachoidiformes, Batrachoididae. The record is from RefSeq and is a predicted model, not a curated record. The transcript has 3 exons.